GCCUUCGUGGUGGAGUGGUCAGCAUGCUGGGCGCGUAUUCCAGAGGUCGGUGGUUCGAGUCCCGGAGAAGGCG
Non-coding RNA from Stegodyphus mimosarum, 73 nucleotides. NCBI's taxonomy places the organism in Eukaryota, Metazoa, Arthropoda, Arachnida, Araneae, Eresidae. The record is from Rfam.